This 690-nucleotide ribosomal RNA is filed under the name uncultured bacterium. Its description in RNAcentral is "bacterial SSU rRNA". It matches the Rfam family "Bacterial small subunit ribosomal RNA", at positions 813 to 1501 of the family's 1533-position model. The record is from RNAcentral.
UAACUAGCUGUCCGGGCUCUCAGAGCUUGGGUGGCGCAGCUAACGCAUUAAGUUAUCCGCCUGGGGAGUACGGUCGCAAGAUUAAAACUCAAAGGAAUUGACGGGGGCCUGCACAAGCGGUGGAGCAUGUGGUUUAAUUCGAAGCAACGCGCAGAACCUUACCAGCGUUCGACAUCCUUGUCGCGGAUAGUGGAGACACUUUCCUUCAGUUCGGCUGGACAAGUGACAGGUGCUGCAUGGCUGUCGUCAGCCCGUGUCGUGAGAUGUUGGGUUAAGUCCCGCAACGAGCGCAACCCUCGUCCUUAGUUGCCAUCAUUAAGUUGGGCACUCUAAGGAAACUGCCGGUGAUAAGCCGGAGGAAGGUGGGGAUGACGUCAAGUCCUCAUGGCCCUUACACGCUGGGCUACACACGUGCUACAAUGGCGGUGACAGUGGGCAGCAACCCUGCGAGGGGUAGCUAAUCUCCAAAAACCGUCUCAGUUCGGAUUGUUCUCUGCAACUCGAGAGCAUGAAGGCGGAAUCGCUAGUAAUCGCGGAUCAGCAUGCCGCGGUGAAUACGUUCCCAGGCCUUGUACACACCGCCCGUCACACCAUGGGAUUUGGAUUCACCCGAAGGCAGUGCGCUAACCGCAAGGAGGCAGCUGACCACGGUGGGUUUAGAGACUGGGGUGGAGUCGUAACAAGGUAACC